This 504-nucleotide ribosomal RNA is filed under the name uncultured bacterium. RNAcentral's name for it is "partial 16S ribosomal RNA". It matches the Rfam family "Bacterial small subunit ribosomal RNA", at positions 28 to 506 of the family's 1533-position model. The record is from RNAcentral.
GACGAACGCUGGCGGCGUGCCUAAUACAUGCAAGUAGAACGCACAGUUUAUACCGUAGCUUGCUACACCAUAGACUGUGAGUUGCGAACGGGUGAGUAACGCGUAGGUAACCUGCCUGGUAGCGGGGGAUAACUAUUGGAAACGAUAGCUAAUACCGCAUAAUAUUGAUUAUUGCAUGAUAAUUAAUUGAAAGGUGCAAUUGCACCACUACCAGAUGGACCUGCGUUGUAUUAGCUAGUAGGUGAGGUAACGGCUCACCUAGGCGACGAUACAUAGCCGACCUGAGAGGGUGAUCGGCCACACUGGGACUGAGACACGGCCCAGACUCCUACGGGAGGCAGCAGUAGGGAAUCUUCGGCAAUGGACGAAAGUCUGACCGAGCAACGCCGCGUGAGUGAAGAAGGUUUUCGGAUCGUAAAGCUCUGUUGUAAGAGAAGAACGGGUGUGAGAGUGGAAAGUUCACACUGUGACGGUAUCUUACCAGAAAGGGACGGCUAACUACGU